GUAGUACUCCCUCCGUCCCAAAAUUCUUGUCUUAGAUUAGUCUAGAUACGGAUGUAUCUAUUUAGACAAAUAUAAGGCACGAAUUUUGGGACGAAGGGAGUACAUG
This is a non-coding RNA of Triticum aestivum (bread wheat), 106 nucleotides long. The record is from Rfam. Lineage: Eukaryota; Viridiplantae; Streptophyta; Magnoliopsida; Poales; Poaceae.